GCUGGUUUUGCUCAAUGGUAGAGCAGUCGCUAUAGCGAAUGGGUAGCGAGUUCCAAGUCCGUUAACCAGCACCA
RNAcentral lists this transfer RNA (74 nucleotides) under Salmonella enterica subsp. enterica. RNAcentral's name for it is "tRNA-OTHER". Lineage: Bacteria; Pseudomonadati; Pseudomonadota; Gammaproteobacteria; Enterobacterales; Enterobacteriaceae. The record is from RNAcentral.